CCUACGGGAGGCAGCAGUCGAGAAUCAUUCACAAUGGGGGAAACCCUGAUGGUGCGACGCCGCGUGGGGGAAUGAAGGUCUUCGGAUUGUAAACCCCUGUCAUGUGGGAGCAAAUUAAAAAGAUAGUACCACAAGAGGAAGAGACGGCUAACUCUGUGCCAGCAGCCGCGGUAAUACAGAGGUCUCAAGCGUUGUUCGGAAUCACUGGGCGUAAAGCGUGCGUAGGCUGUUUCGUAAGUCGUGUGUGAAAGGCGCGGGCUCAACCCGCGGACGGCACAUGAUACUGCGAGACUAGAGUAAGGGAGGGGGAACCGGAACGCUCGGUGUAGCAGUGAAAUGCGUAGAUAUCGAGAGGAACACUCGUGGCGAAGGCGGGUUCCUGGACAUUAACUGACGCUGAGGCACGAAGGCCAGGGGAGCGAAAGGGAUUAGAUACCCCAGUAGUC
This 446-nucleotide ribosomal RNA is filed under the name uncultured bacterium. Its description in RNAcentral is "partial 16S ribosomal RNA". It matches the Rfam family "Bacterial small subunit ribosomal RNA", at positions 338 to 795 of the family's 1533-position model. The record is from RNAcentral.